AUACUGAGGGUGCAAGCGUUAAUCGGAAUUACUGGGCGUAAAGCGCACGUAGGCGGUUUAUUAAGUCAGAUGUGAAAGCCCUGGGCUUAACCUGGGAACUGCAUUUGAGACUGGUAGGCUAGAGUAUGGUAGAGGAUAGUGGAAUUCCGGGUGUAGCGGUGAAAUGCGUAGAUAUCCGGAGGAACAUCAGUGGCGAAGGCGGCUAUCUGGACCAAUACUGACGCUGAGGUGCGAAAGCGUGGGGAGCAAACAGGAUUAGAAACCCCUGUAGUCC
This 274-nucleotide ribosomal RNA is filed under the name uncultured bacterium. RNAcentral describes it as "partial 16S ribosomal RNA". It matches the Rfam family "Bacterial small subunit ribosomal RNA", at positions 523 to 796 of the family's 1533-position model. The record is from RNAcentral.